This is a long non-coding RNA of Spinacia oleracea (spinach), 703 nucleotides long. RefSeq lists it as uncharacterized. The transcript has 3 exons. The record is from RefSeq and is a predicted model, not a curated record. Lineage: Eukaryota; Viridiplantae; Streptophyta; Magnoliopsida; Caryophyllales; Amaranthaceae.
UAAUGUCAAAUUUGGACGCGGUUCAUCUCAAAUAAUUCAAAAAAUAUUGAGCGGUCUUUUUUCACAAUUUAGUCGUCGUUAAUGUCUAGGUAAUUUUUUGGAAACCCUUUCGCCUCUUUUUUCUUAAGCAAAAUAAUUUGCACGUCUCUCUCUCCUAGAAUUUGAGAUCUGGUGAGGCUUUGAUUGCAAUAUCAAGGUCUGCAAAAAUCGUUGGAUAUGAAGGUGAAAGAAUACAUAAGGAAAUGGUGUUUUCUGAGGUAGGAUUUCAUGAAGUUCGAGCACUUGUGUUAUUGGUAUCGAAAGCAUGUUAGGAAUUGGUGGAUUUUGCAACUUUUGGUUCUCGAAAUUGCCUUCUUCUGAGAUUUGGAGACUCAGCGAGUCAGUGAGGAUGGAACCCGCCAGAGCGAUAGCGGCACUAGCGUCGUGGUGGUGGUGACACGACUAGUUGGCACUUUCACUACAAGCAUCAACGUCGUCAAUAACUCAGAUUUUUACCUUAAUUGGUAUUUAUUUUUAUUUGAAUCACGUUGUUUUUACAUUGCAUUUUCAAAAAUUUCUCAACUAUAUUUCAAAAAUUUCUUUAUUUAUGUAAAUGUGAUGGAUAAUUGGUGAAUUACAAUUCAAUUAUUCUUUCCAAUAGUUUGAUUAUAUGUGAAAGAAAUUGUCAUAAUUUGUGAACAUGAAUGAAGUACGGAGUAUUAAU